This 358-nucleotide ribosomal RNA is filed under the name uncultured bacterium. Its description in RNAcentral is "bacterial SSU rRNA". It matches the Rfam family "Bacterial small subunit ribosomal RNA", at positions 552 to 910 of the family's 1533-position model. The record is from RNAcentral.
UUCUGGGCGUAAGCGCACGCAGGCGGUCUGUCAAGUCGGAUGUGAAAUCCCCGGGCUUAACCUGGGAACUGCAUUCGAAACUGGCAGGCUAGAGUCUUGUAGAGGGGGGUAGAAUUCCAGGUGUAGCGGUGAAAUGCGUAGAGAUCUGGAGGAAUACCGGUGGCGAAGGCGGCCCCCUGGACAAAGACUGACGCUCAGGUGCGAAAGCGUGGGGAGCAAACAGGAUUAGAUACCCUGGUAGUCCACGCCGUAAACGAUGUCGACUUGGAGGUUGUUCCCUUGAGGAGUGGCUUCCGGAGCUAACGCGUUAAGUCGACCGCCUGGGGAGUACGGCCGCAAGGUUAAAACUCAAAUGAAU